Molecule: RNA transcript, 5791 nt
Organism: Psammomys obesus (fat sand rat)
Lineage: Eukaryota; Metazoa; Chordata; Mammalia; Rodentia; Muridae
Gene: Klhl25
Gene name: kelch like family member 25
Exons: 4
Source: RefSeq, a predicted model, not a curated record
GAAACUAGUUUGUUGGCGACGCCGGUGCGGUUCGGCUGCGGGAUCUCGGCCGCGACUCGGUGAGCCGACCCGGGGCGGCAGCAGCUGCGGGGACUGCGGAGCGCGUGGGUGCCCACGGUGGGUUCACAAUGUCUGUCAGCGUUCACGAGACCCGCAAGUCGCGGAGCAGCACGGACUCCAUGAACAUCUCGCUCUUCCACAAGGCCUCGCACCCCGACUGUGUGCUAGCCCACCUCAACACCCUCCGCAAGCACCGUAUGUUCACCGAUGUCACGCUCUGGGCCGGUGACCGAGCCUUCCCAUGCCACCGUGCAGUGUUGGCGGCCUCCAGCCGAUACUUUGAGGCCAUGUUCAGCCAUGGCCUGCGGGAAAGCCGGGAUGAUUCGGUCAACUUCCAGGACAACCUGCACCCUGAGGUGCUGGAGCUGCUGCUGGACUUUGCCUACUCGUCCCGCAUUGUCAUCAACGAGGAGAACGCAGAGUCGCUGCUGGAGGCGGGCGACAUGCUGCAGUUCCAUGACGUCAGGGACGCGGCCGCUGAGUUCCUGGAGAAGAACCUCUCCCCCUCCAACUGCCUGGGCAUGAUGCUGCUGUCGGAUGCCCACCAGUGCCGACAGCUCUACGAGUUCUCCUGCCGAAUGUGCCUGGUGCACUUUGAGACGGUGCGGCAGAGCGAGGACUUCAACAGUCUGUCUAAGGACACGCUCUUGGACCUCAUCUCCAGUGACGAGCUGGAGACUGAGGAUGAACGCGUGGUCUUUGAGGCCAUCCUGCAGUGGGUGAAACAUGAUCUGGAUCAGAGGAAGGCCCAUCUGCCGCUGCUCCUGCGCCAUGUGCGUCUGGCCCUGCUGCCCUCAGACUGCCUGAAGAAGGUUGUAUCCGGGGAGGCCCUCUUCAUGGAGGACGAGCGCAGCAAGCUCCUCAUAGAUGAAGCCUUCCGAUGCAAGACCAAGAUCUUGCUGAACGAUGGUGUGGUCACCAGCCCCUUUGCCCGGCCUCGCAAGGCGGGCCACACGCUGCUCAUCCUGGGAGGCCAGACCUUCAUGUGUGACAAGAUCUACCAAGUGGACCACAAAGCCAAGGAGAUUAUCCCCAAGGCGGACCUGCCAAGCCCCCGGAAGGAGUUCAGCGCUUCGGCCAUCGGCUGCAAGGUCUAUGUGACUGGAGGCAGGGGCUCUGAGAAUGGGGUCUCUAAGGAUGUCUGGGUCUAUGACACUGUCCACGAGGAAUGGUCUAAGGCGGCCCCUAUGCUGAUUGCUCGCUUUGGCCAUGGCUCAGCUGAGCUGGAGAACUGUCUGUACGUGGUGGGGGGCCAUACCUCCCUAGCAGGCAUUUUCCCCGCCUCCCCUUCCAUCUCCCUGAAACAAGUCGAGAAAUAUGACCCGGGGGCUAAUAAGUGGACUAUGAUGGCCCCAAUGAGAGACGGUGUCAGCAAUGCUGCGGUGGUGAGCGCCAAGCUGAAACUCUUUGUGUUCGGGGGCACCAGCAUCCACCGGGACAUGGUGUCCAAAGUCCAGUGUUUUGACCCCUCAGAGAACCGGUGGACAAUAAAGGCGGAGUGUCCCCAGCCUUGGCGAUACACAGCUGCCGCUGUCCUGGGCAGCCAGAUCUUUAUCAUGGGAGGUGAUACAGAGUAUACAGCAGCUUCAGCCUAUCGCUUUGACUGUGACACCAACCAAUGGACUCGGAUUGGGGAUAUGACUGCCAAACGCAUGUCCUGUCAUGCCCUGGCUUCCGGCAACAAGCUAUAUGUGGUGGGAGGCUACUUUGGGACCCAGAGGUGUAAGACCUUGGACUGCUAUGACCCCACCUCAGACACGUGGAACUGCAUCACCACGGUGCCCUACUCCCUCAUCCCCACUGCUUUUGUCAGCACCUGGAAGCAUCUGCCUGCAUGAAGGGCACCUGCAUGGCCCAGCCAGGCCUGCUGAGCAUCUUCCGAGAGAGUUCAAGAUUGCUCCUGGAAUCAGCUUUCGCUUUCUUGGCCUCGGCUGUCUGGCUACACCAGAGCAGGCUCUCCUCCAUCUGGAUGGACCUCUUGACCUCUGUCUCCAAGACUGACCCUGAAGUGUUCCCACUCUGCACGAUCCUCCUCUUGUCAGCAUGUUCGCACAGGUCAAAGUCAAAGAAGAGACCCACAACACAGCAGCAGGGCGAGAAGCUGAUAUGCAGGACAUGCCUGUCACUUCUUGAAUCCUGGGAGCCUUCUGUACCCCUCAGCCCCCAUGGCAUGUGGAUGCAACUCGGCUACAGACCAGGGCCUGUGGUAUGGGAGGCAGGGACCCCAGUAUAGGAGAGGGCCAAGCACCUUAAUAGAGUCAAGGCCAGAAGGGGCCAAAACACAGUAUGCCUACUGUCUUUCUGUGCAUUCCUACAAGGGGACAGGAGGAAAAUUCACCUGUAGUGAGCAUGGCAUUAGCCAGUCAGCCGUUCGGGGAUACCCAGCCUGAUACCUCACCCAGGCCUGGUUCUCCGUUCCCCUCCAACAACUCUGGCCCUGCUGAUCCAGCCUCUUCUGCCAGGUGACCAAUAGGAAGGUCCUGGCAACGUGUGCCACUAUCCCUGUUGCCUUGGGAGCUCCACCUUUGCCUGGUUUCCUCUAUAGAUGUACUCUGUCCAUCCUUCUAGGCUUUAAGGCGGUUCCAGAGGCCACCAGCAGCAGUCUCUGAAGCCCCUGCCCAGUGCCCCUGUGAUUCCCUGUUGCCCCAUGCCUGCUUUCUCCAUCCCAGGCACCCACUUCAGGUCCUGAUGGGAACCCCACUCUGGUCAUGUCUUUUUCUCUCCUUUCCCUCUGAAGCCUCCUGGAAGCUGCGUAAGUAAGGCCUAAUCUCCUGUGUGCUCCCUCCCUAGCUUCCCACCCAGCCAACCUCUCACUGCUGCUACAGCUGGCCCACUUUCUCCUAAACAUUACUACAGAGAAACUUAGAGUGGGACCUAGGGCUUUCUCCAGCUUUCAUGGCCAGUCCUAACUGGCAGGAGAGUGCCUUGGGGAUGUUCUUCAUGCAGAGGUCACUUGUGCCUAUGUGAGACCUAAGAAUAAAAAAGACAUCAGCAUAGGUAGAGACUUUAUCAGUCAUCUGCAGGAUGAGUUUUGCCAAGGCCCGUCACGCACAGGGGUGAAGACAAACACUGACCUUGAGUCCAUUUUUCAGCUGGAGGACUGUAUUUCACAGAGGAGAAGAGCAGGCUACGGAGAAGAAACUGACAGAGUUAGGGGCAUAAGACUAAGAUCUUGGGGUGGGCCAGAGGAUAGUCGCUCCUCUGGAGCCAUCACAGAAACCAGGGAGGGUGGCUCACACCACCCUUUCCUCAUACAAGCAUACAGGGUUCCGGGUGGGCCCUGGCAUGAACACGGCCCGUCUCUGUGGCGCUCUCCCGCCAGCUAGGCCUGUCUUUUGAAGCUUGUGGAAACCCGAAGUCCUGGCUCCGGUCAUUUCUUUGUGGUAACAUUGAGGCAGGGUAAAGUGGGUCAGCGCCUGUGACACUGGGAGUUCAUGUUGGCUAGCCUAGAGCAUGUUAGGAUUGUUAGGGGCCUCAGGAACCCUGCUGGAAAACAGUAUCCUGCCUGCCCUGCCAGUGUCUGCGACAUCCAGGGCCUCUGGAGAUGGCAGCGUUCCUGUGGAUCAGCACCAGCCUGUCUCUAGGAGCUGCAGCAGUGCUGGGGGUAUAUUCCCGUUACGGAAAACUUCCGCCAUUGGAGCCUCAGUACUGGCAUAUGAUUUUGCGCUAAGGUUUUGCAAACACACAGAACUAAAGGAAAGUGCCUUGUAUUGGGGGUUUCACAACUGUACAGCUCACACCAGUGUGCAGGUUGCAUAGUUCUAACUCUAAGCUCCUGCCAAGCUUAGUGAUGGUUUCGCUUCCUGCAGUGCCUGCGUGGGGACACAGCUCAGCAUGGAGCCUGUGCCCACGAGCACUGCUAGCCAGUUAGAGACAGGGGCCGAGUCUAUUCUGCCUUCACAGGUUAGAGCCACCAUGUGGCUCGGGUACAUCUAGCCCUGGCCUCCGCUGAAACCACAUGGACAACUGGGCUGCCUGGGAACAGAGGACUGUGGCUUCUCUCCUCCUCUCUCACUGCCCUAGGUUCUUCACCUUCCAUGCCUGUCUCUGCCUUGCCAGCCCUGCUGUGUCCUACAGGGUGUCCGAACUUGAUCAGCAUAGGAGCUGCAGCCUGGCCACCAUCCCUUCCCAGACCCAAAUGCUGAGCCACAUCCUCUUUAGGGCUGGCCUAGGACUGGCCUAGGAUUUUGUGGAGAUGCCGCUGGGGUUCAUCUGUAGCAGUGACCAUCAGUAAUUAAAUCAGUGUUUCCUUCUUGCUUCAGGAACAUUCUCCAUGAAGCCUUCAGCAAGGGGGGCUUGCUCCUGGAUCCUUGCCAGGCUGCGUGGUUCUUCCUGACUCGGCUAGAAACUGACAGCACCAGCUCCGGGUGGCAGCCGCUCAAGCUGUUCUUAACACUAGGCAGGAAAGUGAAGUUCUCCAGCGUCACCUGUGCUCCGCUUCCUGAGCUGCCAGCGGCUUGUGUGGAGAGAAGCUUCCAGAGGCGUGGGCCGUCACCAGCAGCCCUGGCUAGGGAUAUGACAUUCACGCAAAGCCUUGAGGUCACCUCUGCCAGCCAGGCCUGGCAAGGGCUGGCAGGGGAACAGCAGGGGUCCCUUGAUACCAGCAGCACAGCCUUUGACUGCAGGGCUUCCUGCGGAAGGUGGGAAUGUUGCUCCAUACUGUCCUGGACAUCAGGGAGCCGAGUUCAACUGAAGACGUUUUAUAAGAGACAGAAACCCCAGGGCAACCCAGCCUCAGGGGGUAUCCACAGGCUCCACCAGCAGAUAGCACCAGACACCUAAGGCCAAGGGGAGACUGCCUGCGUGCCCUCUGCCAAGAACUACCCCAUCCCCCUAAGGGGUGAUUUUGGGAAGCUACCAUGAACAUAGGACAGAUGCUCAUGACCGGUCAGACACUGCUGGGGGUCCCUCAGCAGGACUCUAGACCCCAGGGAGCUGGUUGGGGUCUGUUGCCUAUUCUCCCUGGAGCCACAGAAGAGCAGCAGGGCUCCUCAGGAGACCCCCUUGCCCCAGUUCUGUGUCCUGUCUCCUAAGAAGAGAACAGUCAUGACCCCGUGGCCACUACAAUUCCCACAGAGAUUAGAUUUCUAUCAUGUGUGGUCUAGUGCCAAGGCUCUUGUCACACUUGCUAUCCUCCUUGGCACCAGCUGGCAGCCUGAAUCCUGCCUGUCUGAUUCUUGAGCUCAGAAAGAAGGAUCCGAAGAAACUUCCCAAAUGUGUUUCUCAAGGAUUCCACACCAGUUCCCUGCACUGGGUGCAGAGGCGCCUUCUGAUGCCAUUCUGGAUGCUAGACUCACCCCUUGCUUGUCUAGCCUGAUGUUGGCGGGACAGGCGCUCUCGGUUUCUGGCACAGCAGGGUACCAUAGCUGGUGGCUUCCCAGGCCAUUGCUGCAUCUGGAUGGAACGUCCAAAGUCGGUUCUGUUGUUGACAAACGUGGAGCCACAGUCUAGACCAGUUUGGUCAGCCGUCAAGGUCCUCGAGGCUCAGCCUGGUACUGGUGCUGUGCGUGACUUAGUCACAGACUGGCCCUUAUCUGAGGUCCAGCUUGUUUUUCAUUCCACCUCCUGGUCAGUCCUUCUGGAGAACUGCAGGCUCUUGGCCUGUGCACCACGUUAUCAGGACCCAUCACUCCGCACAGCACAGAGGACCUAGCCAUGGUGCUUGCCUGGGCAUGGGCGUUGCUUUUAUUAGUUUUCUAACUUAAUAAAAGUGAAGAAGUUCUUGACCUUA